AACACAAACCCCGACGCUGAAUGCGUCAAGGAAUUUUAAAUUUGCUCUGAGCCCACCUGCAUGGCACCGGAGACGGUUUUCGUGCGGGUUGUGUUCUGACACAUAAUAUAGAAUGACUCUCGGCAACGGAUAUCUAGGCUCUUGCAUCGAUGAAGAACGUAGCGAAAUGCGAUACUUGGUGUGAAUUGCAGAAUCCCGUGAACCAUCGAGUCUUUGAACGCAAGUUGCGCCCGAUGCCAUUAGGUUGAGGGCACGUCUGCCUGGGCGUCACAUAUCGAAGCCUCUUGCCAAUUUCCUAUUGAUAGGUAUUGUGCAGGGUGUGUUUGUUGGCCUCCCGUGAGCUCCAUUGCCUCAUGGUUGGUUGAAAAUCGAGACCUUGGUAGGGUGUGCCAUGAUAGAUGGUGGCUGUGUUACGCACGAGACCAAGUCAUGUGCCUGCUCUAUUGAAUUUAGCCUCUUUUACCCACAUGCGUUUCUAAACGCUCGUGAUGAGACCUCAGGUCAGGCGGGGCUACCCGCUGAAUUUAAGCAUAUCAAUAAGCGGAGGAAAAGAAACUAACAAGGAUUCC
This 569-nucleotide ribosomal RNA is filed under the name Trifolium balansae. Its description in RNAcentral is "eukaryotic LSU rRNA". The stretch from base 115 to 270 matches the Rfam family "5.8S ribosomal RNA". Lineage: Eukaryota; Viridiplantae; Streptophyta; Magnoliopsida; Fabales; Fabaceae. The record is from RNAcentral.